ACGGAGGAUCCAAGCGUUAUCCGGAUUUAUUGGGUUUAAAGGGUGCGUAGGCGGACCUUUAAGUCAGUGGUGAAAGUUUGCGGCUCAACCGUAAAAUUGCCAUUGAAACUGAAGGUCUUGAGUGUAAAUAAGGUAGGCGGAAUGUGUUGUGUAGCGGUGAAAUGCUUAGAUAUAAGGCGGAACACCAGUUGCGAAGGCAGCUUACUGGGAUAGAACUGACGCUGAGGCACGAAAGCGUGGGGAUCAAACAG
This 251-nucleotide ribosomal RNA is filed under the name uncultured prokaryote. RNAcentral describes it as "partial 16S rRNA". It matches the Rfam family "Bacterial small subunit ribosomal RNA", at positions 525 to 775 of the family's 1533-position model. The record is from RNAcentral.